RNAcentral lists this ribosomal RNA (434 nucleotides) under uncultured Clostridium sp. Its description in RNAcentral is "partial 16S ribosomal RNA". It matches the Rfam family "Bacterial small subunit ribosomal RNA", at positions 341 to 792 of the family's 1533-position model. Lineage: Bacteria; Bacillati; Bacillota; Clostridia; Eubacteriales; Clostridiaceae. The record is from RNAcentral.
ACGGAAAGCAGCAGUGGGGAAUAUUGCACAAUGGGGGAAACCCUGAUGCAGCGACGCCGCGUGAGUGAAGAAGUAUCUCGGUAUGUAAAGCUCUAUCAGCAGGGAAGAAAAUGACGGUACCUGACUAAGAAGCCCCGGCUAACUACGUGCCAGCAGCCGCGGUAAUACGUAGGGGGCAAGCGUUAUCCGGAUUUACUGGGUGUAAAGGGAGCGUAGACGGCGAUGCAAGUCUGAAGUGAAAGGCGGGGGCUCAACCCUUGGACUGCUUUGGAAACUGUAUUGCUAGAGUGCAGGAGAGGUAAGUGGAAUUCCUAGUGUAGCGGUGAAAUGCGUAGAUAUUAGGAGGAACACCAGUGGCGAAGGCGGCUUACUGGACUGUAACUGACGUUGAGGCUCGAAAGCGUGGGGAGCAAACAGGAUUAGAUACCCUGGUA